This 549-nucleotide ribosomal RNA is filed under the name uncultured Ambispora. RNAcentral's name for it is "SSU rRNA". It matches the Rfam family "Eukaryotic small subunit ribosomal RNA", at positions 548 to 1098 of the family's 1831-position model. The record is from RNAcentral. Lineage: Eukaryota; Fungi; Glomeromycota; Glomeromycetes; Archaeosporales; Ambisporaceae.
UUGGAGGGCAAGUCUGGUGCCAGCAGCCGCGGUAAUUCCAGCUCCAAUAGCGUAUAUUAAAGUUGUUGCAGUUAAAAAGCUCGUAGUUGAAUUUUAGGCCUGGCCGGGCGGUCCGUCUUUGGCGAGUACUGUCUGUUGUUGGGUCUUCCUUCUGGUGAACCAGUAUGUCCUUUAUUGGGUGUGUUGGGGAGCCAGGACCAUUACCUUGAAAAAAUUAGAGUGUUUAAAGCGGGCUAUUGCUUGAAUAGAUUAGCAUGGAAUAAUAGAAUAGGACGUUGUGGUUCUAUUUUGUUGGUUUCUAGGACCACCGUAAUGAUUAAUAGGGAUAGUUGGGGGCAUUAGUAUUCAAUUGUCAGAGGUGAAAUUCUUGGAUUUAUUGAAGACUAACUAUUGCGAAAGCAUUUGCCAAGGAUGUUUUCAUUAAUCAAGAACGAAAGUUAGGGGAUCGAAGACGAUCAGAUACCGUCGUAGUCUUAACCAUAAACUAUGCCGACUAGGGAUCGGAUGAUGUUAAUUUUUUAAUGACUCAUUCGGCGCCUUACGGGAAAC